This 271-nucleotide ribosomal RNA is filed under the name uncultured prokaryote. Its description in RNAcentral is "partial 16S ribosomal RNA". It matches the Rfam family "Bacterial small subunit ribosomal RNA", at positions 524 to 794 of the family's 1533-position model. The record is from RNAcentral.
UACGUAGGGUCCGAGCGUUGUCCGGAAUUAUUGGGCGUAAAGAGCUUGUAGGCGGCUUGUCGCGUCGGAAGUGAAAACUUAGAGCUUAACUCUGAGCCUGCUUCCGAUACGGGCUAGCUAGAGGAGGGUAGGGGAGAAUGGAAUUCCUGGUGGAGCGGUGGAAUGCGCAGAUAUCAGGAGGAACACCAGUGGCGAAGGCGGUUCUCUGGACCUUUCCUGACGCUGAGAAGCGAAAGCGUGGGGAGCAAACAGGCUUAGAUACCCUGGUAGU